GACAGAGGGUGCAAACGUUGCUCGGAAUCACUGGGCGUAAAGGGCGUGUAGGCGGGACGGUAAGUCGGGCGUGAAAUCCCUAGGCUCAACCUAGGAACUGCACUCGAAACUACCAUUCUUGAGUGUCGGAGAGGAAAGCGGAAUUCCUGGUGUAGAGGUGAAAUUCGUAGAUAUUCGGAGGAACACCAGUGGCGAAGGCGGCUCACUGGUCCAUUACUGACGCUGAGGUGCGAAAGCGUGGGGAGCAAACAGG
Molecule: ribosomal RNA, 253 nt
Filed under: uncultured bacterium
Lineage: Bacteria
Description: partial 16S ribosomal RNA
Rfam family: Bacterial small subunit ribosomal RNA
Source: RNAcentral